Molecule: ribosomal RNA, 904 nt
Filed under: uncultured bacterium
Lineage: Bacteria
Description: bacterial SSU rRNA
Rfam family: Bacterial small subunit ribosomal RNA
Source: RNAcentral
AGAGUUUGAUCAUGGCUCAGGACGAACGCUGGCGGCGUGCGUAAUGCAUGCAAGUCGAGCGGGCUACGAUCUUCGGAUUGUAGCUUAGCGGCGAACGGGUGAGUAACACGUAGGUGAUCUACCCUUCAGAGGAGGACAACCUCAGGAAACUGAGGCUAAACCUUCAUACGUUCACUGGUAGGGAUACUGGUGAAGAAAGAGUUACCCCUAGAGGGUAGCUGCUGAAGGAUGAGCCUGCGGCCCAUCAGGUAGUUGGUGAGGUAACGGCUCACCAAGCCGAAGACGGGUAACCGGUCUGAGAGGAUGUCCGGUCACACUGGGACUGAGACACGGCCCAGACUCCUACGGGAGGCAGCAGCAGGGAAUCUUGGGCAAUGGGCGAAAGCCUGACCCAGCGACGCCGCGUGGAGGAAGAAGUCCUUCGGGGCGUAAACUCCUGGACUGGGGGACGAGGAAGGACGGUACCCCAGUAGAAAGGGACGGCUAACUACGUGCCAGCAGCCGCGGUAAAACGUAGGUCCCGAGCGUUGUUCGGAUUCACUGGGUGUAAAGGGCGCGUAGGUGGUUGUCUGUGUCUCAUGUGAAAACUCAGGGCUCAACUCUGAGAUUGCGUGGGAAACUAGGCAGCUAGAGGACGGUAGAGGGGAGUGGAAUUCCCGGUGUAGCGGUAAAAUGCGUAGAUAUCGGGAGGAACACCGGUGGCGAAGGCGGCUCUCUGGGCCGAUCCUGACGCUGAGGCGCGAAAGCUAGGGGAGCGAACCGGAUUAGAUACCCGGGUAGUCCUAGCCGUAAACGAUGGGUGCUAGGUGUUGGGGGGUAAAGACCCUUCAGUGCCGAAGCCAACGCGAUAAGCAUCCCACCUGGGGAGUACGGCCGCAAGGUUGAAACUCAAAUGAAUUGACGG